This 503-nucleotide ribosomal RNA is filed under the name Allobates femoralis (brilliant-thighed poison frog). RNAcentral describes it as "partial 16S ribosomal RNA". It matches the Rfam family "Bacterial large subunit ribosomal RNA", at positions 1813 to 2539 of the family's 2925-position model. The record is from RNAcentral. Lineage: Eukaryota; Metazoa; Chordata; Amphibia; Anura; Aromobatidae.
ACAUCGCCUCUUGAUCAAUUAUAAGAGGUCAAGCCUGCCCAGUGACAUUGUUCAACGGCCGCGGUAUCCUAACCGUGCGAAGGUAGCGUAAUCACUUGUCCUUUAAAUAAGGACUAGUAUGAACGGCUUCACGAAGGCUAUACUGUCUCCUUAAUCUAAUCAAUUAAACUAAUCUCCCCGUGAAGAAGCGGGGAUUCGUCUAUAAGACGAGAAGACCCUAUGGAGCUUUAAACAUCUAAGACACUUGAUUUUACCUACUAAACUUCAUGCAACCUAUCAUUUUGUCUUAAGUUUUAGGUCGGGGUGACCACGGAGAAAAAUUAAACCUCCACGUAGAAAGAAAAUUCUUUUCUAAGCAAAAAGCCACAUCUUAACGCAUCAAUAAAUUGACUUAAAUUGACCCAAUUUCUUGCUCAACGAACCAAGUUACCCUAGGGAUAACAGCGCAAUCCGCUUUAAGAGCUCCUAUCGACAAGCGGGCUUACGACCUCGAUGUUGGAUCA